UUAGGAAUAUUGCGCAAUGGGCGAAAGCCUGACGCAGCGACGCCGCGUGGAGGAUGAAGGUCUUCGGAUUGUAAACUUCUGUUGGAUGGGAUGAAAUACGCAAUCUUAAUAAGAUUGCGGGAUGACAGUACCAUCAAAGAAAGCACCGGCAAAACUCGUGCCAGCAGCCGCGGUAAUACGAGUGGUGCUAGCGUUAUUCGGAAUGAUUGGGCGUAAAGGGUGUGUAGGCGGUGUAUCAAGUCAAUUGUAAAAUUCCUUAGCCUAACUAAGGAUCGGCUGUUGAUACUGAUAUGCUUGAGGAUGGAAGAGAAAAGCGGAAUUCUCGGAGUAGCGGUAAAAUGCGUAGAUCUCGAGAGGAACACCGAUGGCGAAAGCAGCUUUUUGGUCCAUUUCUGACGCUGAGGCACGAAAGCAUGGGGAGCAAACAGG
RNAcentral lists this ribosomal RNA (429 nucleotides) under uncultured bacterium. RNAcentral's name for it is "bacterial SSU rRNA". It matches the Rfam family "Bacterial small subunit ribosomal RNA", at positions 355 to 776 of the family's 1533-position model. The record is from RNAcentral.